AGCAGCCGCGGUAAUUCCAGCUCCAAUAGCGUAUAUUAAAGUUGUUGCAGUUAAAAAGCUCGUAGUUGAAUUUCGGGGUUAGUACGCUGGUCGUGCCUUCGGUAUGUACUGGUGUUACUGAUUCCUACCUUCUGAAGAACCGUCAUGUCAUUAAUUUGGUGUGGCGGGGAAUCAGGACUGUUACUUUGAAAAAUUAGAGUGUUUAAAGCAGGCUCGCGCUUGAAUACAUUAGCAUGGAAUAAUGAAAUAGGACGUUUGAUCCUAUUUUGUUGGUUUCUAGGAUUGACGUAAUGAUUAAUAGGGAUAGUUGGGGGCAUUAGUAUUCAAUUGUCAGAGGUGAAAUUCUUGGAUUUAUUGAAGACUAACUACUGCGAAAGCAUUUGCCAAGGAUGUUUUCAUUAAUCAAGAACGAAAGUUAGGGGAUCGAAGACGAUCAGAUACCGUCGUAG
Molecule: ribosomal RNA, 449 nt
Filed under: uncultured Glomeromycotina
Lineage: Eukaryota; Fungi; Glomeromycota
Description: SSU rRNA
Rfam family: Eukaryotic small subunit ribosomal RNA
Source: RNAcentral